RNAcentral lists this long non-coding RNA (1388 nucleotides) under Macaca fascicularis (crab-eating macaque). RNAcentral's name for it is "lncRNA (ENSMFAG00000051353.1)". Lineage: Eukaryota; Metazoa; Chordata; Mammalia; Primates; Cercopithecidae. The record is from RNAcentral.
CUUGGAAUUAGUCCUUAGUCUUUUAUUUAGUGUGUUUGGUGAGGUCAUGUUUUCCUAGAUGGCCAUGAUGCCUGUGGAUGUUUUUUUAGUGUCUGGGCAUUGAAGAGUUAUUUAUUGUAGUCUUCACAGUUUGGGCUUAUUUGUACCCACCCUUAUUGGGAAGGCUUUCCAGGUAUUCAAAAGAAAUUGGGUAUUGUAAACUAAAUUUUUAGUCAUUACAGCUGUAUCUGCUUUAGGGAACACCCCAAGCCCAGUAGCGCUCAGACUCAUAGAGAUACCACCUUGGUGGUCUUAGAUAAGAUCCAGAAGUGUUCUGUGGAUUACCAGGCAGAGACCUUGUUCUCUUCCCUUACUUUCUCCCAGACAAAUGGAGUCUCUCUCUUUAUGCUGUGCUGCCUGGAGCUAGGGGAGGAGUGACACAAGCACCCUGUGGCUACCAACACUGAAACUACACUGGGUCAGACACAGCACUGGAUCUUGCCCAGUAACUACUACCUGGCUACUACCUAUGUUUGUUCAAGGCCCUCUACAAUCAGCACGUGGGAAAGCCAACUAGGCUUGUGUUCUUCCUUUCAGGGCAGUGAGUUCUUCCAGGCCCUUGAUGGGUCCAGAGAUGCAGUCUGGUAGCCAGGGUCUGGAAUUGGAAACCUUAGAAAUCUACCUGGUGCUCUACUCUACUGGCUGAGUUGGCAUACAAAACGUAAGACACAGUCCUUCCCACUUUCCCUCCCCUUUCCAUGUGGAGUGGAGUCUCUAUCCAUGGCUGUCACCAUUACAGACCCACAGAGAGUACUGCCAGCCUACCACCAAUGUUCACUUAAGGCCCAACAGCUCUUCUUCAGUCAGCUUUUGGUGAAUGCUGCCAGGCCUGACGCUCACCCUUCAGGGCAGUGGGCUCUCCUCUGACCUAGGGCAGGUCCAGAAAUGCUGCCCAAGAACCAAGACCUAGAAGCAGGGACCCCCAAAGCCCAUUUGGUGCUCUACCCCACUGUGGCUGAGCUGACACCUAGGCUGUAGGACAAAGUCCCCUUUACUCUUCCCUCUGCUUUUCUCAAGCAGAAGGAGUCUCUCCUCAUAGCCACCACAGCUGGAAAUGUGCUGGGUUACACUGAAAGCCAGCACAUCUCAGAGUCUCACCCAAGGCCCAUAGAAUGUAUUACUGGGCUACCACUGCUGAUUAUUCAGGGCCCAAGGGCUCUUUAGUCAGCAGGUGACGAAUCCUGCCCAGGACUGGGUCCUUUCUUCUUUCAAGGCAGCAGUGUCCCUUCUGGUGUAGGGUAUAUCUAGCAAUAUCAUCUGAGAGCUAGGGCCUGGAAUGGGGGCCUCACAACUCUGUCCAAUGCCCUAUCCUGUUGUGGCUGAGAUGAUAUCCAAGUUGCAAGACAAAG